This 797-nucleotide long non-coding RNA is filed under the name Physcomitrium patens. RNAcentral describes it as "long non-coding RNA (PPAT_LNC000262)". The record is from RNAcentral. Lineage: Eukaryota; Viridiplantae; Streptophyta; Bryopsida; Funariales; Funariaceae.
GCUAUAAGGAUUGAUUGAGAGCCUAUGAGUUCACCUACAAUCAUUUCAUAUGAUUUAGAGUGAAUUAGAAUUAAAAAAAUUUAAAAGAUUUAGUGAAGUUUAGCAAUAAUGGUGUUGUAUUAUGUGGCAUUUGGCUUGAGAAUGCAUCGGGCAGCUGGUUGUGGAAGAUAAAAGGAAAAUUGUAACAACAAGUCCUAACAAUUCUAACAGAUUUUUAAUUAAAUUAUAAUUAAAGAGUAGCAAAUACAAUCAAAUAUCAAUCAAAUUCAAUUGAAAUUUCAAAAAAACUAUUAAAGAAACAUAAAGAAUUCUUAGAGACCAUUUUAAGAAAUCAUAAAAAAACAAAAUAGAAAUUAAAAAACAAAUAUAUUAAAAUAUAAAUCUUAAUAAAAUAUUAAAAUGAAAACCUUAAUUAAAUCCUAUUCAAAACUUAGUCAAAUCCUAAAUGGUUUUAAUCAAAUUCCAAUCAAAUCCUAAAUAAACCUUAAUUAAAUCUUAAUAAAAUCUUAAUCAAAUCUUAAUCAAAUCUUAAUAAAAUCCUAAUCAAAUCCUAACCUUAACCAAAUCUUAAAUCAAUCCAAAAUUCUAAUCCUAACCAAACCUUAAAUCAAUCCAAAAUCCUUAUCCUAAUCCUAACCCUAAACCAAAUCCAAAUCAAUUCCAAGUAAUUCUUAUAGUAGAUUUAAACAUCAAUAUCUAAUGAAUGAAUUAUUGAUUUCAACUCAAAUUUUGCAUACUUCUUAAUAAUUAAAUUGAAAACAAGCAUUAAAAAAAAAAUAAAAAAUCAGAAUUACUAA